This 253-nucleotide ribosomal RNA is filed under the name uncultured bacterium. RNAcentral's name for it is "partial 16S ribosomal RNA". It matches the Rfam family "Bacterial small subunit ribosomal RNA", at positions 524 to 776 of the family's 1533-position model. The record is from RNAcentral.
GACAGAGGGUGCAAACGUUGCUCGGAAUUACUGGGCGUAAAGGGCGCGUAGGCGGCCCGCUAAGUCGAACGUGAAAUCCCCGAGCUCAACUCGGGAACUGCGUCCGAUACUGGUGGGCUUGAAUCCGGGAGAGGGAUGCGGAAUUCCAGGUGUAGCGGUGAAAUGCGUAGAUAUCUGGAGGAACACCGGUGGCGAAGGCGGCAUCCUGGACCGGCAUUGACGCUGAGGCGCGAAAGCUAGGGGAGCAAACGGG